GAUGCAGUCUCCCUGUGUUGCCCAGACUGGUCUUGAACUCCUGAGCUCUAGUGGUCCUCCUGCCUUAGCCUCCCACAGUGUUGGGAUUACAGGCAUGAGCCAUCCCACUGGGCCUGGAAAUGGGUUUUGAUGAAAGCAGUUUGAAUGCUCUCCAAGUGUGAAGUGAAGGCCUUGUCUCUAAAUUGUCUCAUACUCCAGAACCACAUCCAGUUUACACGUUCUGUCACAUUGUAGUGGGGAAGGCUGAGGUACCACAUCACAAGGAAACUCAGGAGCAAUAGCAGCGAGACUCCAAGCAUGCGAGCUGCAAGUUCUUCCUCUUGAUUAAUUUCUUGUCAAUGAAAAGACUUUCAGUUUCACCACCUGAGCAUUUAGGAAUAUGUAGUCUUCAAAAAUAAUGCUACCAAAAAAACAGAGAAUUUCAGAUUGCCUUAAAAUUCUGCCAUAUACUGCUUAUAAAACACAUACCUGUACAAUUUCAGAUGAGAUUAAGGCACUAGCUAAAGUUUUUUGUUUUCUGUAUUCCAUGCUUUAAGUAAAACACUCAGAUUUGCAGUGAACACUAUGAAAACAGAAAAAAAAAAAAAGACAUGGUUUGAUAAUGUCUCUUAUGGUAGCUUUUC
This is a long non-coding RNA of Sapajus apella (tufted capuchin), 623 nucleotides long. RefSeq lists it as uncharacterized. NCBI's taxonomy places the organism in Eukaryota, Metazoa, Chordata, Mammalia, Primates, Cebidae. The transcript is spliced from 2 exons. The record is from RefSeq and is a predicted model, not a curated record.